RNAcentral lists this unclassified non-coding RNA (322 nucleotides) under soil metagenome. Its description in RNAcentral is "partial contains 5.8S ribosomal RNA, internal transcribed spacer 2, and large subunit ribosomal RNA". The stretch from base 1 to 120 matches the Rfam family "5.8S ribosomal RNA", at positions 35 to 154 of the family's 154-position model. The record is from RNAcentral.
GAUGAAGAACGUAGCGAAAUGCGAUAAGUAAUGUGAAUUGCAGAAUUCAGUGAAUCAUCGAAUCUUUGAACGCACAUUGCGCCCUUUGGCAUUCCGAAGGGAACACCUGUCCGAGCGCCGUCGCACAACUGAGGCGCAGCCUUGCGUUGGCGGGCGACUUGUGAGUAGCGAGUCGCCGCCCAAACGAGACGGCGCCGCGCCGCGGCCGACGAAGCACGAAAGCGGAAGUCGACGCGGAGGCGGUUGCCUGUAGGAAGACACAGCUUGGCCUCGGAUCAGGUGGGGAUACCCGCUGAACUUAAGCAUAUCAAUAAGCGGAGGA